GCGGGUCAAAAAUAUGGAAUCGCGAGGUAUUUUCAAAAUGGAGUCAGAGGUACACGUCAGUGUUUUUAAAAAAUCUGGAAUACCAGCGGUGACACGAUGCACGGUGUGCUGUACGUUGUUCCACUGCCCCAUUUGCCCCCCUAAUCUUUUUAAAGCCCGGUGUCGGGUGAAGGUUUUAAAGCACAUGGAGACGCAUGUGAAAAAUGCUGUUAAAUAUAAAGAUUUCUACAUAACAAAAUGUCACCAUGCCUGCAGGAAUGAAAGCCACUUCCACUGCCCUUUCUGCUUAAAGACAGUAAUUAGACGACAUGAUUCAGAGAGGCAUUUACAGAUCUGUAGGCAUGGUGCCGGUGAGCCUCCAGUUGAUUCUGGCCACAUUGGCCUACUGCCAGCUGUUGGUGAGGAUGUGUGUAUGAAGAAGAUGAAGAAGAAGAAGCAAGAAGUUGGUCUCAGAUCUAAAAAGACCAUGGAGAUUUCCUUUGCAGGCAAACAAGCUCUGGUCACAGGAGCAGGAAAAGGGAUCGGCAGGGCCACAGCUCUGGCUCUGGCACGCUGCGGGGCGAAGGUCACGGCGGUCACACGCACACAGGCCGACCUGAACAGUCUGGUGGAGGAGUGCCCAUCAAUAACCCCAGUAUGUGUGGACCUGGCAGACUGGGGAGCCACAGAGGCAGCCUUGCAGAACGUCGGCCCCAUCGAUCUUCUGGUGAAUAACGCUGCCUAUGCUACCUUACAGUCGUUUCUGGAAGUCACACCUGACCAGUUUGACAAGUCAUUUAAUGUGAAUGUGAAAGCGGUGCUGCAGGUCUCACAGAUAGUGGCUCGUGGUAUGAAGGCCAGAGGAUCUGGAGGCUCCAUCGUCAACGUGUCCAGCCAGGCGUCACAGUGCGCCCUCAAAGACCACGCUGUCUACUGUGCCACUAAAGGAGCUUUGGACAUGCUGACCAAGGUCAUGGCCCUGGAGCUUGGACCCCAUCAGAUCCGUGUGAACACGGUGAACCCCACCGUGGUGAUGACUGACAUGGGUCGUCUGGGCUGGAGUGACCCAGAGAAAUCCAAGCCAAUGAUGUCCCGCAUCCCUCUGGGCCGCUUCGCAGAGGUGGAGGACGUGGUGAACAGUAUUUUAUUCCUGCUAAGUGAUAUGAGCAAAAUGACCAAUGGAGUCACUCUACCGGUGGAUGGAGGAUUCCUGGCCUGCUGACUGUCCUCGUCUCAGCUCAUCAACCCGUCUGCUGGGGUGGAAAAACAACAAGAAGUACUCCCUGACUUAUCAUCUUAAAGCCAUACUUAAAUGAGGCACUGACAGUGCCUGCAUGUUCAUAUGAUUGGAUGCAUGGACAUAGUACGAGCAGAGGACUGUCAAAACUACCCAGAGUGCAGUGUGGACUAAAACAUGGCAGCACCCUGGUCUAAAAGCAUUCCUCCUACUUUCACCACAGUCUGGCCUUCUGACAGCGACUCUUAAAGAUGCACCUUUCCCCUCCAAGGAGAGAAAAGUUUCUUUAUGGCAUUUUAAAAUAAACUUGUUGCUUGUUAUUUACACAUCAACUAUUUCUUGCAAUGUGCAAAAUUAAGUUAAUCUACAUGGUCAGCCCGUUACUGAAUUUAGAUUUUGAUUGAUUUUUAUUAUUGUGUUUAUGCAGAAACGAUAUGCCCAGCCCAAAAAGGAUUACAAGACACCAGUAAGUAAGACACCAGCCCUGCAGCUGCAACGUAAAAAAAUAAUAAGCAACACAAUGGGGCCAUUUUUAAGGGCAUAUGUGACCAUAGUUGUAACACACAGCAGGAAAAGGUGCUGCUGAUAGUUGGAAUACACACUUAAGAAAGGCCCUGAGCUUUUGCCUCGAGUGUCAUGCCAGUGUGUCUGUGAUGGCAUGCAGACUCACACCUUUGGUUUACAUCAAAUGGUAUAGAAGAGGCAGGAUGACAUGCUUCAAGUCAUGUGACUAACAUAUCCUGCAGUGUGGUUAUUAUGCAUGCACACAGUGCAGUUAGGAAUGAAAAAUGAUAUAUCCUUCAGCCCUAUAAGAAAUUAUUUUCUUUGAGAAAUGAACUACUUCAUACUUCAUCUACUGGUUUGGAUAACAUCUUCCUAUUCAUUUUACAGUCUAAAUUUGUAAUAACUGCUACAUAGCCGAAAAUAGCAUCCAAAUUACGGUCAGAAUCACGUCAGUCAAAGAUGCUACGAAACUCUAGAGCUACUUUUAGCUUCAAAGGGUCAAUCCCGUUUCUACCCGUUAGCCCAGUGUUACUCAACUCUGCUCAACCAAAGAGCCAAAUUGUUGAAAAUACCUUUGCAAGAGCCACAAUCUAAGUGGUGAAAAGUGGCAAAAUUGGGUUAAAGUGGCAAUAAAAAUAAGUUAAAGG
Molecule: RNA transcript, 2367 nt
Organism: Cheilinus undulatus (humphead wrasse)
Lineage: Eukaryota; Metazoa; Chordata; Actinopteri; Labriformes; Labridae
Gene: dcxr
Gene name: dicarbonyl/L-xylulose reductase
Exons: 13
Source: RefSeq, a predicted model, not a curated record